This 490-nucleotide ribosomal RNA is filed under the name uncultured bacterium. Its description in RNAcentral is "partial 16S ribosomal RNA". It matches the Rfam family "Bacterial small subunit ribosomal RNA", at positions 30 to 507 of the family's 1533-position model. The record is from RNAcentral.
AUUGAACGCUGGCGGCAGGCCUAACACAUGCAAGUCGAACGGUAACAGGGAUCAGCUUGCUGAUUCGCUGACGAGUGGCGGACGGGUGAGUCAUGUCUGGGAAACUGCUUGAUGGAGGGGGAUAACUACUGGAAACGGUAGCUAAUACCGCAUAACGUCGCAAGACCAAAGAGGGGGACCUUCGGGCCUCUUGCCAUCGGCUGUGCCCAGAUGGGAUUAGCUAGUAGGUGGGGUAACGGCUCACCUAGGCGACGAUCCCUAGCUGGUCUGAGAGGAUGACCAGCCACACUGGAACUGAGACACGGUCCAGACUCCUAUGGGAGGCAGCAGUGGGGAAUAUUGCACAAUGGGCGCAAGCCUGAUGCAGCCAUGCCGCGUGUAUGAAGAAGGCCUUCGGGUUGUAAAGUACUGUCAGCGGGGAGGAAGGGAGUAAAGUUAAUACCUGUGCUCAUUGACGUUACCCGCAGAAGAAGCACCGGCUAACUCCGUG